Pangasius djambal is the source of this 74-nucleotide non-coding RNA. NCBI's taxonomy places the organism in Eukaryota, Metazoa, Chordata, Actinopteri, Siluriformes, Pangasiidae. The record is from the annotation of a GenBank genome assembly.
GGCAGUGGUAGCUCAGUGGUUAUGGUGUUGGACUACAGGUUAGAAGGUUGUAAGUUCAAAUUACAGCACUGCCA